This 1157-nucleotide long non-coding RNA is filed under the name Mus musculus (house mouse). RNAcentral's name for it is "predicted gene, 33111". The record is from RNAcentral. Lineage: Eukaryota; Metazoa; Chordata; Mammalia; Rodentia; Muridae.
GCAAUACAAAUUUCAAGGCUGUGGAACCAGGAGAAGGUCUGAGGAACGGAGCUCCCGGAAGUAAAGGCAUUGCCUCACAUUUGAGUGCAUGAGGAGAAGUAAGGAAGAUUCUAUCACACUCUUGCUGUCAAUGGUUACAAGCCAUAGCUCAGAGUGAGUAUAUGUCCCAGGGGCCACCUCCUGUCCUUCAGGCUGCAUGGUUCCAGCCAAGACAGGAAAGGGUAGUUAGCCUUCACAAACCCAAGUGGAAACUAUGUAUAAGUAUCUAUGUCAGUCACUUCUCUUGUUUCUUCCAUGAGACACCUGGCAACAGUACUUAAGGAAGGAAAGGUUUGCACUGGCCCGCAGUCUGAAGGAGGACAGAGGACACAAGGCAAUGAGAGCAGCUCUAGGUGUAGCCGUGGGAGCCCGAUAUAGCUGGACGCGCUGCAUCUGAAGCAUGACUUCAGGAUUUGUGGUCAGAAGCACGAGGUGGAGAAGUCCUGAUACAAUCUUUGUACUGUACGGUUGCCGUCUGGACUUCAUUGACUAUCCCGGAGCGAUCCAGCACAAGUGACAAGUGAAGACCUUGGCUGUGUUUCAGAAGCACAAUUACAACUCUUGGGGUAAAGAGCCUCAGCGACAAGGCCCAGGAAAGCAGGUGUAUUGAGAAUUAGAGGUAGUCACAGGGGAUGAAACAUAAAAUCAACGUGCCAGAGGUUGACCUGGGCUCUUCCACCCUCACUGUGAUCUUCAGUUUCGCUGCGUGCACUCAAGGCACAAACCUGGGAUUUGAGAUUUCAAGCUGUGUCUGUAAACUUAUUUUCAGAGACUCGGAGCGGGCCCCAGAGGAGAGGUAGGGAGUGGUCCUGGCAGCUGUUGGAUGAAGCAGGUAACUGUUCCACAGCAGAGUGGGAGAUUACUGGGGCUUGUAAAAGUUGUUUGCACUUUAGUUUAGGCUUAAGCCCAGGAUUUAGGAUCUCUGAAUUCUGAGCCUAAAAAUGAUCGCUUGUGUAGUGGUAGUGAGUGAGUGGCCCCUGCAGUAUUUGACUAGGUAUCUGAGAGAGGUUCUUCUUUACUUGGAAAUUUAGGUACAUGUUUUCUCAUGCUUUCUAUAGACAUAUAAUUUUAUAUAUUAUCUUUGAAUCAGGGUAUGAGUAAACUAAACAUCAUUUUCA